AGCAGCCGCGGUAAUUCCAGCUCCAAUAGCGUAUAUUAAAGUUGUUGCAGUUAAAAGCUCGUAGUUGAAUUUCGGGAUUGACACAUCGGUCGUGCCUUAAGGGGUAUGAACUGGUGUAGUCAAUUUCUCACCUUCUGGAGAACCGCGAUGCCCUUAAUUGUGUGUCGCGGGGAACCAGGACCUUUACUUUGAAAAAUUGAGUGUUUAAAGCAGGCAUUUUGCUUGAAUACAUUAGCAUGGAAUAAUAAAAUAGGACGGCAUGAUUCUAUUUUGUUGGUUUCUAGGAUCACCGUAAUGAUUAAUAGGGAUAGUUGGGGGCAUUAGUAUUCAAUUGUCAGAGGUGAAAUUCUUGGAUUUAUUGAAGACUAACUACUGCGAAAGCAUUUGCCAAGGAUGUUUUCAUUAAUUAAGAACGAAAGUUAGGGGAUCGAAGGCGAUCAGAUACCGUCGUAGUCUUAACCAUAAACUAUGCCGACUAGGAAUCAGACGAUGUUAAUUUUUUAAUGUACUCGUUUGGCAC
Molecule: unclassified non-coding RNA, 520 nt
Filed under: uncultured Entrophospora
Lineage: Eukaryota; Fungi; Glomeromycota; Glomeromycetes; Entrophosporales; Entrophosporaceae
Description: SSU rRNA
Rfam family: Eukaryotic small subunit ribosomal RNA
Source: RNAcentral